AUUAACUUUUAACCAACUGUAUUUCUUUUACUGUGAACUAUCUCUUCCAGUCAUUUCAUGGGUUGUAUUUUAAGAUCAAAGCUGAGCACCAUGAGAACACCAUUGUACCAGCUUGUUUGUCCAAAAGACAACAGAACUUCAAAGCCAUGAGGUGCCUGCCUUUCUUCCAAUCAAGUGGACUCUACUAGUCAUCCGUAGAGAUGCACAAGCUUGGAGCAUUUCCUUGUAUUUAAGCUGAGGAAAGGGAGAAUAUCCCCAGCCCCAUUUCAAGCUGUCAUCAUGAACAGUAGUGGAGGAGUGGAUUUGCCAAACAGCUGUCAGAGCUGACACCAGGCAGUGUCAGCAGUGGGGCUGGAGCUAACCCUUGGUGGAGCGACUUUCCUCUUGCUCAAUUCCUGGGUUCCCUCCUACUGUUCUGAACCAAUGACGCAGAUGGCAAGUGAAACAGAUCAGCAAAGAGGCCCAAAGAAGCAAAGAAACUUGCCCAGGAUCACACAAAUCAGCAGGAGGAGCUGGGAUUUGCACACAUUUUCUUAGGGCCAUGAAAGAGCCAACCUAGAGGUCAAGCUAGCAUGCUAAGUGUGACAGUGAAGAAUGGUGGAAAGAAUAUGACUUGGUGAUGCUGGUUUGAACACCGAAUUAGUCCCCUUGGGAACACUCCAUCAUACAUCCCAUGUCAGGGAAAUGCUGCUUUGGAAAAUACUCCCAGGGUUCUCACUUGCACCAAGUAAUAAAACUCUUACUGAUGAUUGAUGAAAACCUGUGUUCUCGUGGAGAGUCUUUUGUUACUUGCCAGGUGAGUGAACUCCAGUUUUUUGUUUUUGUGUUUUUCUUUUUUCUGGGUGACAUAGGCUUUGCUGUUAUCCUCAUUUAGCAGAUGAAGAAACUCAGACUUGGAAAGAUUAAGUCAUGUAUUAUCCCAUGGCAAUAAGCAACAGAACUAUGACUUGCCCUUAGAUCUGCAAGAGCUUACUCUUGGCAUAUAGCCCACAUCUAGCAGGGGCUCAAAAAAGGUAUGUUGAACUGGACACAAUGUGCUUCACCAGCUCUCAGCUGGGUGACCCCUUUGUAGAGAUGCUGAAUAUCUUCCCUGAAUAUGGUAUUGUCUCCCUUGAGGAUGCCAAUUCUUCAAAUGGCUUGACAAACUCACGUGGGUGUGCCAGAAGGCUAGCUGCUCAGACCUCCCCAUGGAGGUGUAAAUAUUUUAGUCAGUGGCAGGAAUAGUACUAUGAAUAGUCUUAUACCCAUGAAUAAUGCAAUCCCCUUCCUUUUCUCAACCAAAUGACUUUAGGACAUAUGGGGCCGAGAACAUGAUGCAGAUAUGAGGCUGGAUUAUGUACAUCAUUAGCCCACCUCCUAUGGUGAUGGAAUUUGUCACCCCCACAAGCGCUUUUCCAUUUGCUUUCAGAGGCUCAUCCUUGGUCUUACAUGAUGGAUUUGCUUUUCAGUUAUGGAGGACAGUGCCCUGGACUGGGCAUACUUCUCAGGGUAAACCUUGUUUCUUAAUGUGACUUCUUUUAAUGUUUUUACAUUGGAAGGGGGCCAGGGCUGGAUUUUUUUUCUUUCAGGGACCACAGGUUCUGACUUCAGGAGCCCAAGGAGAGCUCCUCCUGCCAGCAGCAGUAUUGUUCUUGGCCAAAUUUGGGUCUAGUGGAGAGUUUGAGAGAAGUUUGCAGAAUGGAUGGGGCAGAACAUGGGGGCCCAAGGCCCUUAGUACAGAGUGUUGGGGCUGGUAGCUGAGUAAUGAAAAGGCAUAGGUGGUGAGAUGGGAAGCCAACUCCUUAUUUUUAUAAUUAAAAAGUAUAUAAUUUAAAAUUAUAAAAGUAUGCUUAUUUUUACCUAUCUUGACUCUCCCUGCCACAUCUUUAUACUGUGGAUUUGAUUGCAAAAUGUGGCAUCUCUUAAUGUAAGAACCACAAUAAUAUCUUGCACAGAUUCCAUUCCCACUGAUCAUCUGGAAUGGUCUUCAUGGAAGCCCUGAGGUAAGCAGGGAUGGGGUGCUGACCUUGAUCCACAGGAGAUGAGGAUUCUGAGAGUCAGGGAAGUUAGGGGGCUUGCCCGAGGCUCUGCAGCAAGCAAAUAAUAGACAAGUGUUCAAAGGGAAGUGCUUGGACUCCCAGUUCAAUAUUGCUCAUUUUUUCUUUAAAAAGGUGAGUACAGGUGUGGAUGUUCCCCCCUCCCCCAACCCUGCCUCCUGCUUUAUGAGCUCUCUGCAACUGGCACCAGGUGCCCACACUAACUCACCUCACCCUCUUUCCUGUUCUGCCCCCAAGCCUCAGUCUGGGAUUUUGAAGCUGUUGUGUUGCCUCCAUUCCAGAAAGCUUGGCCCACCAGCCCCAAGAUAGCAAGCUUGGUUGAAUCUUCCUCAAGGAGAAACACUUCCCCUCCAUGUUCUGAUCUGCAGAGUGGUGGAUGCUGCUUUUCUGCAGGCACAAUGGACAGAAAUGUAGGAUACUUGAUGAGCACCUCUUGAUAAAAGUGAGAGCUCCACUUGGAAAACAGAGUGAUGAGGAGGAUUCAGAUCUGCUUACUCUGAUCCGUAAGUGUGAGUUGAAAAAUGAAUGACCGGGAAAGUCUGUGGCUUACUCAGUGAGCUCCUGAAAAGACACUGCUUUGUAACUCUGCUAGAGAUGCCUCCCAAGGGAAGGGGCCAAUUACAAUCAUUGCAGCCUCAUUCUAGAAAGUUGGUGACCAGUGCACAUAUGGGUGUGCUGGAAGGUCAAUGCUGGUUUGGUCUCAGCCUCCCCUCCUAGCUGGGAACAGUUGUCCAGAUGUCAUGUGUAUCUCUGGAGGGACUUGCUCAGUUAGCUUGAAAAAACAGACUCACUAAUUGUGCUGCCCUCUGUUGUAA
Molecule: long non-coding RNA, 2851 nt
Filed under: Homo sapiens (human)
Lineage: Eukaryota; Metazoa; Chordata; Mammalia; Primates; Hominidae
Description: HSALNT0359999
Source: RNAcentral